AUUCAUACAUGUUGUUUGUUUCAUCCAUCAUGUCUGAGUAGUCUGCUUGUUAGGGUUAGGAUUUCUCAGUAGGGAUUCAUAUAAUUUAGUAGAUCGCUCCCUUGCAAGGUUAUCUGUAGGAUUCUUCAUCUUUAGUUGC
RNAcentral lists this small RNA (139 nucleotides) under Arabidopsis thaliana (thale cress). RNAcentral describes it as "ATSL196990". The record is from RNAcentral. Lineage: Eukaryota; Viridiplantae; Streptophyta; Magnoliopsida; Brassicales; Brassicaceae.